Molecule: ribosomal RNA, 351 nt
Filed under: Triticum aestivum (bread wheat)
Lineage: Eukaryota; Viridiplantae; Streptophyta; Magnoliopsida; Poales; Poaceae
Description: partial small subunit ribosomal RNA
Source: RNAcentral
AUGCAGCGGCCCAAGACGGUGAAGAGGUCAACGGCGACGGCGGAGCUCCGAGGCUGGCGACGCGAGGAAGACGAAGAGAAAGAGACGAAGGGGAGAAAAGGAAAUGACCCUUCGGUCCUAUUUAUAAAGCAGGGGACGUGUGUCAGGCGCGCAAAUCCAGGAGCCACAAAAUUCGGAAGUGGAGCUGCUGCCUUGAGUAUCGCAGAUCUAUUAAUAAAAGGAGGCGUCAUAAAUGUUAACUUCAUGAUGACGUCAUGCCGGUUCACAGCAACCAGAGAUGAUGACGACAUGGCGGUUCACCAACUACCAGAAGAUGUUGAAGACAAAGAUUUUUGUGAAGGAUUGACAUGA